RNAcentral lists this ribosomal RNA (475 nucleotides) under uncultured organism. RNAcentral's name for it is "partial 16S ribosomal RNA". It matches the Rfam family "Bacterial small subunit ribosomal RNA", at positions 329 to 796 of the family's 1533-position model. The record is from RNAcentral.
ACGUACACUCCUGCGGGAGGCAGCAGUGGGGAAUUUUGGACAAUGGGCGAAAGCCUGAUCCAGCCAUGCCGCGUGCAGGAUGAAGGCCUUCGGGUUGUAAACUGCUUUUGUACGGAACGAAACGGCCUUUUCUAAUAAAGAGGGCUAAUGACGGUACCGUAAGAAUAAGCACCGGCUAACUACGUGCCAGCAGCCGCGGUAAUACGUAGGGUGCAAGCGUUAAUCGGAAUUACUGGGCGUAAAGCGUGCGCAGGCGGUUAUGUAAGACAGUUGUGAAAUCCCCGGGCUCAACCUGGGAACUGCAUCUGUGACUGCAUAGCUAGAGUACGGUAGAGGGGGAUGGAAUUCCGCGUGUAGCAGUGAAAUGCGUAGAUAUGCGGAGGAACACCGAUGGCGAAGGCAAUCCCCUGGACCUGUACUGACGCUCAUGCACGAAAGCGUGGGGAGCAAACAGGAUUAGAUACCCUAGUAGUCC